GUCUACAGCCAUGCCACCCUGAACACGCCCGAUCCCGUUGAUCUUGGAAGCUAAGCAGGGUCGGGCCUGGUUAGUACUUGGAUGGGAGACCACCUAGGAAGACCUGAUGCUGUAGGCG
RNAcentral lists this ribosomal RNA (118 nucleotides) under Pteropus alecto (black flying fox). Lineage: Eukaryota; Metazoa; Chordata; Mammalia; Chiroptera; Pteropodidae. The record is from RNAcentral.